This 611-nucleotide ribosomal RNA is filed under the name uncultured bacterium. RNAcentral describes it as "bacterial SSU rRNA". It matches the Rfam family "Bacterial small subunit ribosomal RNA", at positions 338 to 945 of the family's 1533-position model. The record is from RNAcentral.
CCUACGGGAGGCAGCAGUAAGGAAUAUUGGUCAAUGGAGGCAACUCUGAACCAGCCAUGCCGCGUGCAGGAUGACGGCCCUAUGGGUUGUAAACUGCUUUUGUACCAGAGAAAACCUAUCUACGUGUAGAUAGCUGAUAGUAUGGUAAGAAUAAGCAUCGGCUAACUUCGUGCCAGCAGCCGCGGUAAGACGAAGGAUGCAAGCGUUAUCCGGAUUCAUUGGGUUUAAAGGGUGCGUAGGCGGACUUGUAAGUCAGUGGUGAAAUCUCUUUGCUUAACAAAGAAACUGCCAUUGAUACUGCAGGUCUAGAGUAUAGAUGACGUUGGCGGAAUAUGACAUGUAGUGGUGAAAUACUUAGAUAUGUCAUAGAACACCGAUUGCGAAGGCAGCUAACGAAACUAUAACUGACGCUGAGGCACGAAAGUGCGGGGAUCAAACAGGAUUAGAUACCCUGGUAGUCCGCACCGUAAACGAUGAUUACUCGUUGUUGGCGAUAUGACAGUCAGCGACCAAGCGAAAGCGAUAAGUUAAUUCACCUUGGGGAGUACGCCGGNAACGGUGAACUUAAAGGAAUUGACGGCUUGAGACGNGCGAGACGACGACGAGGAGAG